GCUCCGUUGGUGAACCAGCGGAGGGAUCAUUACAGGACUCGCAAGACUCCUACAACCCUGUGAACUUAACUAUAAGCACGUUGCUUCGGCGGGUGUCUCGGAGGGGGUUCUCCCUCCCCGAGACGCUAAACCCGCCGGCAGCCUGCUAUACUCUGUCUCUUUGCGUUGGCAUCUCGAGUACAAUCAAACAAGUUAAAACUUUCAACAACGGAUCUCUUGGUUCUG
Molecule: unclassified non-coding RNA, 225 nt
Filed under: plant metagenome
Description: partial contains small subunit ribosomal RNA, internal transcribed spacer 1, and 5.8S ribosomal RNA
Source: RNAcentral